GAUGAACGCUGGCGGCAUGCCUAAUACAUGCAAGUCGAGCGGACGGACGAGAAGCUUGCUUCUCUGAUGUUAGCGGCGGACGGGUGAGUAACACGUGGGUAACCUACCUAUAAGACUGGGAUAACUUCGGGAAACCGGAGCUAAUACCGGAUAAUAUUUUGAACCGCAUGGUUCAAAAGUGAAAGACGGUCUUGCUGUCACUUAUAGAUGGAUCCGCGCUGCAUUAGCUAGUUGGUAAGGUAACGGCUUACCAAGGCAACGAUGCAUAGCUGACCUGAGAGGGUGAUCGGCCACACUGGAACUGAGACACGGUCCAGACUCCUACGGGAGGCAGCAGUAGGGAAUCUUCCGCAAUGGGCGAAAGCCUGAUGGAGCCACGCCGCGUGCGUGAUGAAGGUCUUCGGAUCGUAAAACUCUGUUAUUAGGGAAGAACAUAUGUGUAAGUAACUGUGCACAUCUUGACGGUACCUAAUCAGAAAGCCACGGCUAACUGCGUG
This 497-nucleotide ribosomal RNA is filed under the name uncultured bacterium. RNAcentral describes it as "partial 16S ribosomal RNA". It matches the Rfam family "Bacterial small subunit ribosomal RNA", at positions 28 to 507 of the family's 1533-position model. The record is from RNAcentral.